RNAcentral lists this ribosomal RNA (255 nucleotides) under uncultured bacterium. Its description in RNAcentral is "partial 16S ribosomal RNA". It matches the Rfam family "Bacterial small subunit ribosomal RNA", at positions 524 to 776 of the family's 1533-position model. The record is from RNAcentral.
UACGUAGGCAGCGAGCGUUGUUCGGAGUUACUGGGCGUAAAGGGUGUGUAGGCGGUUGUUUUAAGUUUGGUGUGAAAUCUCCCGGCUCAACUGGGAGGGUGCGCCGAAUACUGAAUGACUUGGAGUGCGGGAGAGGAGAGUGGAAUUCCUGGUGUAGCGGUGAAAUGCGUAGAUAUCAGGAGGAACACCGGUGGCGAAGGCGGUUCUCUGGGCAUGUCCUGACGCUGAGGAGCGAAAGCUAGGGGAGCAAACGGG